GCAGACUAAGAAAUGUUUUUACAAAUGCAAAAUGUUCUAUGAUAGAUAUCAUUUUGUCAGACACUUUUCUUUUUUUUAUUUGGUUCUUAUAACAUGACAAAAAUCUGUAUAUUUAAUAGAGUUUAACAUUAAAUUAAGCGUUUUACUCUUAACAGACGUAUAACCAACCCGAUUAACAGACCAAUCGCCCAUGUAGCCGCAUACUCAAUAUAUAUUAACCGAC
RNAcentral lists this long non-coding RNA (223 nucleotides) under Mytilus galloprovincialis (Mediterranean mussel). The record is from RNAcentral. Lineage: Eukaryota; Metazoa; Mollusca; Bivalvia; Mytilida; Mytilidae.